UUAGGUCGGGAACUCAAAGGAGACUGCCAGUGAUAAACUGGAGGAAGGUGGGGAUGACGUCAAGUCAUCAUGGCCCUUACGACCAGGGCUACACACGUGCUACAAUGGCGCAUACAAAGAGAAGCGACCUCGCGAGAGCAAGCGGACCUCAUAAAGUGCGUCGUAGUCCGGAUUGGAGUCUGCAACUCGACUCCAUGAAGUCGGAAUCGCUAGUAAUCGUGGAUCAGAAUGCCACGGUGAAUACGUUCCCGGGCCUUGUACACACCGCCCGUCACACCAUGGGAGUGGGUUGCAAAAGAAGUAGGUAGCUUAACCUUCGGGAGGGCGCUUACCACUUUGUGAUUCAUGACUGGGGUGAAGUCGUAACAAGGUAACCGUAGGGGAACCUGCGGUUGGAUCACCUCCUUACCUUAAAGAAGC
RNAcentral lists this ribosomal RNA (420 nucleotides) under Salmonella enterica. RNAcentral's name for it is "bacterial SSU rRNA". It matches the Rfam family "Bacterial small subunit ribosomal RNA", at positions 1126 to 1533 of the family's 1533-position model. The record is from RNAcentral. Lineage: Bacteria; Pseudomonadati; Pseudomonadota; Gammaproteobacteria; Enterobacterales; Enterobacteriaceae. RNAcentral also lists the same sequence under 10 other names.